This 323-nucleotide ribosomal RNA is filed under the name uncultured Streptococcus sp. RNAcentral's name for it is "bacterial SSU rRNA". It matches the Rfam family "Bacterial small subunit ribosomal RNA", at positions 1057 to 1382 of the family's 1533-position model. Lineage: Bacteria; Bacillati; Bacillota; Bacilli; Lactobacillales; Streptococcaceae. The record is from RNAcentral.
AGCUCGUGUCGUGAGAUGUUGGUUAAGUCCCGCAACGAGCGCAACCCCUAUUGUUAGUUGCCAUCAUUCAGUUGGGCACUCUAGCGAGACUGCCGGUAAUAAACCGGAGGAAGGUGGGGAUGACGUCAAAUCAUCAUGCCCCUUAUGACCUGGGCUACACACGUGCUACAAUGGUUGGUACAACGAGUUGCGAGUCGGUGACGGCGAGCUAAUCUCUUAAAGCCAAUCUCAGUUCGGAUUGUAGGCUGCAACUCGCCUACAUGAAGUCGGAAUCGCUAGUAAUCGCGGAUCAGCACGCCGCGGUGAAUACGUUCCCGGGCCUU